GACUCUUCUGAAGGCAGUGAGCUAUCUCAGUUAAUUCACAGUCAGUUACAGAUCAAACUCCUUGUUCUACUCUUUUCCCCAUUCUCGCUACUGCGCUUGAACAGCACUUAA
Molecule: unclassified non-coding RNA, 111 nt
Organism: Cercocebus atys (sooty mangabey)
Lineage: Eukaryota; Metazoa; Chordata; Mammalia; Primates; Cercopithecidae
Rfam family: Y RNA
About the family: Y RNAs are components of the Ro ribonucleoprotein particle (Ro RNP), in association with Ro60 and La proteins.
Source: Ensembl